Molecule: ribosomal RNA, 504 nt
Filed under: uncultured bacterium
Lineage: Bacteria
Description: bacterial SSU rRNA
Rfam family: Bacterial small subunit ribosomal RNA
Source: RNAcentral
UAAACGCUGGCGGCGUGCUUAACACAUGCAAGUCGAACGGAGUAUCUCGUCCCGAGGAUUGACGAAGCUUGCUCUGAUUGACUCAUUGAGAUACUUAGUGGCGGACGGGUGAGUAACGCGUGGGUAACCUGCCUCACACAGGGGGAUAACAGUUGGAAACGACUGUUAAUACCGCAUAAGCGCACAGCUUCGCAUGAAGCAGUGUGAAAAACUCCGGUGGUGUGAGAUGGACCCGCGUCUGAUUAGCUAGUUGGUGAGGUAACGGCCCACCAAGGCAACCGAUCAGUAGCCGGCCUGAGAGGGUGUACGGCCACAUUGGGACUGAGACACGGCCCAAACUCCUACGGGAGGCAGCAGUGGGGAAUAUUGUACAAUGGGGGAAACCCUGAUCCAGCGAGCCCCGCGUGAGUGAUGAAGUAUCUCGGUAUGUAAAGCUCUAUCAGCAGGGAAGAAAUUGACGGUACCUGACUAAGAAGCACCGGCUAAAUACGUGCCAGCAGCUGC